This is a long non-coding RNA of Antechinus flavipes (yellow-footed antechinus), 2768 nucleotides long. RefSeq lists it as uncharacterized. Lineage: Eukaryota; Metazoa; Chordata; Mammalia; Dasyuromorphia; Dasyuridae. The transcript has 3 exons. The record is from RefSeq and is a predicted model, not a curated record.
ACUAUUUUUAGAACCCUAGGAAAUCUUUAUUUUUUAUGAGACAGAACAAGAGAAUAGCAUUUUUUUUAAAAAUAAAAAAUCGAAGGACAUUCAAGUAUUAGCUCCAAUCCUGUUCUUUUUAGUCAUAGUUCUCCUAUACUAAGACAGCUUUAGUUCACAAAGUUUUCAGUUUUGGGGUAAAAUGAUUCACAAGAUUCUUUCCCCCUCAGAACUAGAUUAAAAAUAAAGUUCUUCUUAGCAUUUUAGAGGACCUUCCUAUUAGGCUCUUCCUUGGUGGAGCUCAUCAUUCAUUUAUUCCACUAAACAGUGAAAACAAGCAUUUCUCUCAUCCCAGCUCAUCUCUUCAGCCCCCCUCCUUUUCUGUGGAGCUGGGCUAUAUUCUUGUUUCAGCACAAGAGUCCAAAAAAAAAAAAAAAAAAAAAAAAAAAGCUCUUUCCCUCCUCCUAAAAAUCAAGCAAAAAGUCCAGGCAUUUGAAAUAUUUCCAUCCUUGAAGUGGACCAGCUUCUCUCCACACUUGUAGUACUUGGCAAACAGAAACAGUGGCAGCCCCAGCAGCAGAGGCAUCCCGAACGCCCAAUCCUGUCCAGUUUACACCACGGAGCCGAGGAAAAUCCACCGAGUUUGCGAUCCAAAAGAUUCAAGGUCUUAUCACCGGCUACUUCUGGUAAAGAGGAUGGAAUACCAGAUCCCCACAGUGGAGCUGUUGAAAACUCUCUGGAGUUUUCCCAAUGUUCCUUAAAUCUCACAAAAGGUUUUACUUGAAGGAAGAAAAAUCUUUGACCUACUGGCUUGAGCUAUUUAGGACUUGGGAAUCCAAGAAUCCAUGCUGAAUCUUACACUAUGACCGGUAGGGAAAUUCUGAUAAGCAAGGAUCUUAGACCAGUGGAUUUGAAUAUGUUAGGAGGAAUUCUACAUGGGAAUCCUUUCUCUCCUCAAAGACUGAGGUGACAUAGGUAGAGAUUAUGCUUUGAAGAUAUAUAGAAAGAGCCCCAUUUGUUUUUUUUUUACUAUAUUUUUAAAAUAAAUAAUUCUUUGUAAAAGCUAACAUAAUCUUAAUUUGUUAAAUGGAACUAGGAAUUAAUCUCUGGCCCUCUAAAAUGAGAACACAAUCAGUUGGGGCUGGACCUGAUAGCAGAAAAAUUUGCCUAACCUCUUCUGAGUAACAGAGACACUGGGAGCAAGGAACAAUAAAAUGGAACAGACCUGGCCCUUGGACUGUUUGGCCCAGAGACAAAUCCCAAGUUGCAGAAGAAAGAAUACUAAACAGAGUAAGUAAAUGUAAAGAGCUUGGCAAAAGCAGUCAAGUGAGAAUGGGGAGAAAGUAGGGAAAUCAUUAUAAUGUAAUAGCAUCAAAAUAGGACAGGCAGUAAUCAUAAGAUGAAUGUCCUGACUGAAAGGAAGGAGAUAAUUACUUUAAGGGGAGAAAAACACAACCCUAAUAAUAAUUACUUUAAAUGUGAAUUGAUUAAACAAUUUGAUCCAAUGAAAGUAACAAGACAGAUAAUAAAGUAAAAACCAAAAAUUUCAUACAUACAAGAAAUAUAUCUAAAAUACAGAAACAUGAAGAAUAAAAAUGAGAGACUGGAAUAAAGUUUACAACAUAUCAAUUUUUUUUUUUGAGUAGGAGUUACACUCAUGCUACCAGAAAAAGCAAAAAUAAAAAUUCUCAAUAUUAAGAGAAACAAAUAGAAAAGCCAUGUUAUACUUAAGAAAUUAUCAUCAGUUAGCAAACAUUAAAACUAAAUAUAUACAUAUAUAUGCACUAAAGAGCAUAGAAUUUUGAUUUAUUAAAAAAUAGUUAACUGAAUUACCAAAAAAGACAUAGAAAAUAACAUAAUUGUUGCAAGAGGCUUUAAUGUUCCACUUACAGAGCUAGAUAGAUUUAACAGAAAGGUAAAUAUGGAAUUCAAUGAAUUCCUGGAAAAUGUAGGGCUGAAAGACUUAAGUUUUUAAUGAGAAUAUUAAACAAUAUAGGUUAUAUAUGUAUAUUAUAUGUGUGUAUAUUUUUUCUUAGUACCAUGAAGCACUUUUACAAAAAUAGACUGUAUAUUUUAACAUAGUAAUUGAACAAAUUAAUGCAAAAAGGGGAAAUGCCAAAAACAUACUUUGUAGACCAAAAUGCAAUAGAAAUAGUAGUUAAUGAAGGAGACAUAAGCAAAAAGAUUAUAGAAAUAAAUGAAGCUUAAUAAUGAAAUCCAGAGUAAUGAUUUUAUCAAAGAACAAACCACAGAAACAAUGAAUGGUUAUUUGAAAGCAAGUGCUAAUAAUGAAAUGAACCUGAAAUUCCUUGGGUGCUAUUAAUGUGAUCCUGAAAGGAAAAAUUAUACAUAUAUAUAAGAAAAGAGGAUUAGUUAGUUGAAUAUGCAAUUUUAAUAAUUUGAAAAUCAACCCCAAAAAGGCACAAAAGAAGAAAAUUUGAAAAUUAGAUGAAUAAAAAGAAGGAAAACAAAAAGUCUACAGUAAUGAAUUAAAUUUAAAAGCUAAUUCUUUGGAAAAAAUUAACUAAAUUGACAAUCUUUUACCCAAUAUGAAAAAGGAGAAAAGAAUCAUAUUAGCAAAAUAACUAACAUGUUAAAGUCAUAAAAGAAAGAAAUACAAUUAUUAACCAAUAGCUACUAUACACAAUUCUAUGCCAAUAAGGUUGAGAAUUUAAAAGAAAUGAAGAAUUAUGUACAAAAUCCAAAAAGUAAUUAAAUUAAUUAAUUUAACAUGAAAUAGAUAGUAAUCCAAUGUCAGGAAAUGAAAUUGAAUAAUCUAAAAAUGGAAA